RNAcentral lists this ribosomal RNA (2565 nucleotides) under Escherichia coli. RNAcentral describes it as "partial 23S ribosomal RNA". It matches the Rfam family "Bacterial large subunit ribosomal RNA", at positions 375 to 2925 of the family's 2925-position model. Lineage: Bacteria; Pseudomonadati; Pseudomonadota; Gammaproteobacteria; Enterobacterales; Enterobacteriaceae. The record is from RNAcentral.
GUACACAAAAAUGCACAUGCUGUGAGCUCGAUGAGUAGGGCGGGACACGUGGUAUCCUGUCUGAAUAUGGGGGGACCAUCCUCCAAGGCUAAAUACUCCUGACUGACCGAUAGUGAACCAGUACCGUGAGGGAAAGGCGAAAAGAACCCCGGCGAGGGGAGUGAAAAAGAACCUGAAACCGUGUACGUACAAGCAGUGGGAGCACGCUUAGGCGUGUGACUGCGUACCUUUUGUAUAAUGGGUCAGCGACUUAUAUUCUGUAGCAAGGUUAACCGAAUAGGGGAGCCGAAGGGAAACCGAGUCUUAACUGGGCGUUAAGUUGCAGGGUAUAGACCCGAAACCCGGUGAUCUAGCCAUGGGCAGGUUGAAGGUUGGGUAACACUAACUGGAGGACCGAACCGACUAAUGUUGAAAAAUUAGCGGAUGACUUGUGGCUGGGGGUGAAAGGCCAAUCAAACCGGGAGAUAGCUGGUUCUCCCCGAAAGCUAUUUAGGUAGCGCCUCGUGAAUUCAUCUCCGGGGGUAGAGCACUGUUUCGGCAAGGGGGUCAUCCCGACUUACCAACCCGAUGCAAACUGCGAAUACCGGAGAAUGUUAUCACGGGAGACACACGGCGGGUGCUAACGUCCGUCGUGAAGAGGGAAACAACCCAGACCGCCAGCUAAGGUCCCAAAGUCAUGGUUAAGUGGGAAACGAUGUGGGAAGGCCCAGACAGCCAGGAUGUUGGCUUAGAAGCAGCCAUCAUUUAAAGAAAGCGUAAUAGCUCACUGGUCGAGUCGGCCUGCGCGGAAGAUGUAACGGGGCUAAACCAUGCACCGAAGCUGCGGCAGCGACACUGUGUGUUGUUGGGUAGGGGAGCGUUCUGUAAGCCUGCGAAGGUGUGCUGUGAGGCAUGCUGGAGGUAUCAGAAGUGCGAAUGCUGACAUAAGUAACGAUAAAGCGGGUGAAAAGCCCGCUCGCCGGAAGACCAAGGGUUCCUGUCCAACGUUAAUCGGGGCAGGGUGAGUCGACCCCUAAGGCGAGGCCGAAAGGCGUAGUCGAUGGGAAACAGGUUAAUAUUCCUGUACUUGGUGUUACUGCGAAGGGGGGACGGAGAAGGCUAUGUUGGCCGGGCGACGGUUGUCCCGGUUUAAGCGUGUAGGCUGGUUUUCCAGGCAAAUCCGGAAAAUCAAGGCUGAGGCGUGAUGACGAGGCACUACGGUGCUGAAGCAACAAAUGCCCUGCUUCCAGGAAAAGCCUCUAAGCAUCAGGUAACAUCAAAUCGUACCCCAAACCGACACAGGUGGUCAGGUAGAGAAUACCAAGGCGCUUGAGAGAACUCGGGUGAAGGAACUAGGCAAAAUGGUGCCGUAACUUCGGGAGAAGGCACGCUGAUAUGUAGGUGAAGUCCCUCGCGGAUGGAGCUGAAAUCAGUCGAAGAUACCAGCUGGCUGCAACUGUUUAUUAAAAACACAGCACUGUGCAAACACGAAAGUGGACGUAUACGGUGUGACGCCUGCCCGGUGCCGGAAGGUUAAUUGAUGGGGUCAGCGCAAGCGAAGCUCUUGAUCGAAGCCCCGGUAAACGGCGGCCGUAACUAUAACGGUCCUAAGGUAGCGAAAUUCCUUGUCGGGUAAGUUCCGACCUGCACGAAUGGCGUAAUGAUGGCCAGGCUGUCUCCACCCGAGACUCAGUGAAAUUGAACUCGCUGUGAAGAUGCAGUGUACCCGCGGCAAGACGGAAAGACCCCGUGAACCUUUACUAUAGCUUGACACUGAACAUUGAGCCUUGAUGUGUAGGAUAGGUGGGAGGCUUUGAAGUGUGGACGCCAGUCUGCAUGGAGCCGACCUUGAAAUACCACCCUUUAAUGUUUGAUGUUCUAACGUUGACCCGUGAUCCGGGUUGCGGACAGUGUCUGGUGGGUAGUUUGACUGGGGCGGUCUCCUCCUAAAGAGUAACGGAGGAGCACGAAGGUUGGCUAAUCCUGGUCGGACAUCAGGAGGUUAGUGCAAUGGCAUAAGCCAGCUUGACUGCGAGCGUGACGGCGCGAGCAGGUGCGAAAGCAGGUCAUAGUGAUCCGGUGGUUCUGAAUGGAAGGGCCAUCGCUCAACGGAUAAAAGGUACUCCGGGGAUAACAGGCUGAUACCGCCCAAGAGUUCAUAUCGACGGCGGUGUUUGGCACCUCGAUGUCGGCUCAUCACAUCCUGGGGCUGAAGUAGGUCCCAAGGGUAUGGCUGUUCGCCAUUUAAAGUGGUACGCGAGCUGGGUUUAGAACGUCGUGAGACAGUUCGGUCCCUAUCUGCCGUGGGCGCUGGAGAACUGAGGGGGGCUGCUCCUAGUACGAGAGGACCGGAGUGGACGCAUCACUGGUGUUCGGGUUGUCAUGCCAAUGGCACUGCCCGGUAGCUAAAUGCGGAAGAGAUAAGUGCUGAAAGCAUCUAAGCACGAAACUUGCCCCGAGAUGAGUUCUCCCUGACUCCUUGAGAGUCCUGAAGGAACGUUGAAGACGACGACGUUGAUAGGCCGGGUGUGUAAGCGCAGCGAUGCGUUGAGCUAACCGGUACUAAUGAACCGUGAGGCUUAACCU